AAUAGACAUUGAGAUUUUAUGAAUUUGUAUAUUUUUGCAAGAGGAAAGGUGUGUAAAAAACUAUCAUUGGAGGUCUAACAUUCUUUUGCAAUGAAACCGAAACAUCAACAACAUCAACAACACUCAUUGCAAACGAAUAUUAGACCUCCAAUGAUUGCUUCAAGGUUUGUCCUUUUAUUAAAACAAGAAAAAGGAAAGGUGUGUAAAAAAUAAACGUAGUGAGUAAUAAAAUUAUAGUUUAAAAGAAAACCAAUAACACGCUUUUA
This is a long non-coding RNA of Rhagoletis pomonella (apple maggot), 266 nucleotides long. RefSeq lists it as uncharacterized. The transcript is spliced from 2 exons. The record is from RefSeq and is a predicted model, not a curated record. Lineage: Eukaryota; Metazoa; Arthropoda; Insecta; Diptera; Tephritidae.